AGACCCAGAACCUCCCCCAUCAUCACCAGACCGAAGCAGCCUUCACCCAGUGGCUUACCAAGAACAAGUCUGUGAGACGGAGAGGAGACAGUGGAAGAAUUUCAAAUGAAGCAACAGCAUUCAGAUGUUAAAGCUGUCUGCCUGGAAAAGCUGAUUACUUUGCUUCUGCCUCUGGACUCAUGGAUCUCAUCACCCACUGACCUGGAAAGUAGGCGCAUAAGAUCUGCAACAUCACAUCAACCAGCAGACAAGAUGCUUCUUUUGAAGUGGGAGCAGGAACAAAUUGAAUUAUGCGGCAACUCUGAAGAUCAGCUCCCAUAUAUAUGAUUACCCCGUCACCCACAGCAGGAUGCAAAAUGUGAGGCUGUUCCCCAAUCCUGAGUAUGGUACUCCAUGUCUCUGUGCGUGUCCUUCUGCCAGCCAUUUAUCUGAUUACUUCGAGACUGCUCUGAUGGGCCCGGCUCUGCCAGGGCAGCUGGGAAGCUUUUGUCUAGGUGGACACAGAGAUAAGGACAAGCUGACCCUUUCAUCUGUGAAAACCUAAAUUUAAGUACAACCGCAACGCAUGGUUCUGGGUAAGCAUGGAAUAAAAUAUAUUCCAAUAUUAACAAUGGCUGGAUAUUUAAAAAUAUAUAUAUUUCAUUCUUUUUUCUUUUGUCUAAAAAUUGUAUCAAACCAUCCAUCCAUCCGUCUGUCCGUCCAUUCAAUUUCCCAUCCAUCUUUCCUUUCAACCGUUCAUUCUUCCUUCCACUGUGUGGUUUUUGCAGUUUCCAAAUCUAAAGCCUAACAGCUGUUAUAAAUGUAUGGUGGAGUUUUUUUUAUUUCUAAUUUAAUUUGGCUUAAAAUGGAAUGAGCAUGAUUCAAGUUUAAGUCUGGAAAGGAUAGUUGGAUAGAUAGAUUCGCAUGUAAAACGUGUAAAAAUGCUUUAAAACAAAAAUAAAACAACACAAUAUUUA
Molecule: long non-coding RNA, 956 nt
Organism: Girardinichthys multiradiatus
Lineage: Eukaryota; Metazoa; Chordata; Actinopteri; Cyprinodontiformes; Goodeidae
Exons: 2
Source: RefSeq, a predicted model, not a curated record